This 524-nucleotide ribosomal RNA is filed under the name uncultured bacterium. RNAcentral describes it as "partial 16S ribosomal RNA". It matches the Rfam family "Bacterial small subunit ribosomal RNA", at positions 28 to 523 of the family's 1533-position model. The record is from RNAcentral.
GACGAACGCUGGCGGCGUGCUUAACACAUGCAAGUCGAACGGACAGACAGAGAGCUUGCUCUCUUGAAGUUAGUGGCGAACGGGUGAGUAACGCGUAAUCAACCUGCCCUUCAGAGGGGGAUAACAACGGGAAACCGUUGCUAAUACCGCGUACGAUUCAUGAACGGCAUCGUUUAUGAAUGAAAGGUGGCCUCUAUGUAUAAGCUAUCGCUGAAGGAGGGGAUUGCGUCUGAUUAGCUAGUUGGAGGGGUAACGGCCCACCAAGGCAAUGAUCAGUAGACGGACUGAGGGGAUGGACGGCCACAGUGGGACUGAGACACGGCCCAGACUCCUACGGGAGGCAGCAGUGGGGAAUCUUCCGGAAUGGACGAAAGUCUGACGGAGCAACGCCGCGUGAGUGAUGAAGGUCUUCGGAUUGUAAAGCUCUGUUAAUCGGGACAAAAGAGUUCUGCGUGAAUAAUGCAGAAAAGUGACGGUACCGGAAUAGAAAGCCACGGCUAACUACGUGCCAGCCGCCGCAGUAA